GACCGCGUAGCUCAGCUGGCAGAGCAUUGGGCUAGUAUUCCAAAGGCCGUGGGUUCGAUUCCCACCGUGGCCA
Molecule: transfer RNA, 73 nt
Filed under: Paramuricea clavata
Lineage: Eukaryota; Metazoa; Cnidaria; Anthozoa; Malacalcyonacea; Plexauridae
Rfam family: tRNA
About the family: Transfer RNA (tRNA) molecules are approximately 80 nucleotides in length. Their secondary structure includes four short double-helical elements and three loops (D, anti-codon, and T loops). Further hydrogen bonds mediate the characteristic L-shaped molecular structure. tRNAs have two regions of fundamental functional importance: the anti-codon, which is responsible for specific mRNA codon recognition, and the 3' end, to which the tRNAs corresponding amino acid is attached (by aminoacyl-tRNA synthetases). tRNAs cope with the degeneracy of the genetic code in two manners: having more than one tRNA (with a specific anti-codon) for a particular amino acid; and 'wobble' base-pairing, i.e. permitting non-standard base-pairing at the 3rd anti-codon position.
Source: Rfam by way of RNAcentral